AGGUGGGAGCGGCGGAAGGGCGAGGAACGCGUGGACAAUCUGUCCACUGGGUGGGGAUAACCCCGUGAAAACGGAGCUAAUACCGAAUGUGGCAUCGGAGCACAUGCUCUGAAUGUUAAAGGGCGGGACCGCAAGGCCGCCCCCCCAAGUUGAAGAGUCCGCGUACCAUCAGCUUGUUGGCGGGGUAACGGCCCACCAAGGCUUACGGUUAGCUGGUCUGAGAGGACGACCAGCCGCACUGGGACUGAGAUACUGCCCAGACUCCUACGGGAGGCUGCAGUCGAGGAUCAUUCGCAAUGGGGGCAACCCUGACGAUGCGACGCUGCGUGGAGGACGAAGGCCUUCGGGUUGUAAACUCCUGUCAUGAGGGAAGAGGGAAGGGCGAGUAAUACUCGCGCCGACUUGACGGUACCUCAAGAGGAAGCCACGGCUAACUCUGUGCCAGCAGCCGCGGUAAUACAGAGGUGGCGAGCGUUGUUCGGAUUUACUGGGCGUAAAGGGCGCGUAGGCGGCCGUGUGUGUGGGGUGUGAAAUCUCCGGGCUCAACCCGGAAAGUGCGCCCCAAACUGCACGGCUCGAGUUCGGGAGGGGGGAUCGGAAUACAGGGUGUAGCGGUGAAAUGCGUUGAUAUCCUGUAGAACACCGGUGGCGAAGGCGGAUCCCUGGAACGAUACUGACGCUGAGGCGCGAAAGCAAGGGGAGCAAACAGGAUUAGAUACCCUGGUAGUCCUUGCCUUAAACGGUGCACACUUGACGCGGGGGGAUUUCACCCCCCCCGUGUCGGAGCUAACGCGUUA
This 797-nucleotide ribosomal RNA is filed under the name uncultured organism. RNAcentral describes it as "bacterial SSU rRNA". It matches the Rfam family "Bacterial small subunit ribosomal RNA", at positions 87 to 862 of the family's 1533-position model. The record is from RNAcentral.